RNAcentral lists this ribosomal RNA (591 nucleotides) under Triticum aestivum (bread wheat). Its description in RNAcentral is "partial small subunit ribosomal RNA". Lineage: Eukaryota; Viridiplantae; Streptophyta; Magnoliopsida; Poales; Poaceae. The record is from RNAcentral.
AUGCGUGUUAAUGGGAAGGCAACCAAUGCACUAGAAAUCAAUGUUCUAGCUGUGAGUGAGCUGUUUGCAAGCCCAAGGGUAAUUGAAUAUGGCAAGUACUUUGUCACUGUCAGGGAGCUCGCAAACUCAAUGAAGAAGGGGGGUUUUGUCGUGAGCCAUGUAAUGGAAGUUGGUAUAGAGAGUAUAAUGAUGAACUUGCCACCAAACUCAAAGAAGCUUGUGAUGCCCGUCGGGUUCUCGGUUCAGAUGCAAAACAUGGAAUUGAACGGCAAUGAGCUCAUUUCCCGGUUCAAGAAGUCGAAUCGCUUGGACCGUAAAGACAUGAUUAUGUUCCCAGUUUUAGAGAACAUUGACAAGACAAAGCCUAAAACAGGCAAUCAUUACUGGAUUUUUAACAUGAACAUAAGGGAUCGAUGUUUCGAAGCUCUUGAUUCUUGGAGGAUGCUAAAAAACAAGUCUUUAGAUGUUUGCGCAAGGAAAAUGGUUGCAAGUUUUCGGUCUCUAUGGGAAGAGCAUUACGCCAGUUCCCGUGUCUCGCUGGAUGACUUUGGGCUUACCAACAUCGAUGUUCCAAAACAGAACAAUGAGUAA